RNAcentral lists this ribosomal RNA (442 nucleotides) under uncultured bacterium. Its description in RNAcentral is "partial 16S ribosomal RNA". It matches the Rfam family "Bacterial small subunit ribosomal RNA", at positions 339 to 795 of the family's 1533-position model. The record is from RNAcentral.
CUACGGGGGGCAGCAGUGGGGAAUAUUGGGCAAUGGGCGCAAGCCUGACCCAGCAACGCCGCGUGAGGGAAGAAUGUCUUCGGAUUGUAAACCUCUGUCCUUGGGGACGAAAAAAAUGACGGUACCCAAGGAGGAAGCUCCGGCUAACUACGUGCCAGCAGCCGCGGUAAUACGUAGGGAGCAAGCGUUGUCCGGAAUUAUUGGGCGUAAAGGGUGCGUAGGCGGCGCUGUAAGUCAGAUGUGAAAUCCCCGGGCUUAACUCGGGAGUUGCAUUUGAAACUACAGUGCUUGAGUAAAGAAGGGGUAAGUGGAAUUCCUAGUGUAGCGGUGGAGUGCGUAGAUAUUAGGAGGAACACCAGUGGCGAAGGCGACUUACUGGUCUUUUACUGACGCUGAGGCACGAAAGCGUGGGGAGCAAACAGGAUUAGAUACCCCGGUAGUC